Molecule: long non-coding RNA, 526 nt
Filed under: Hordeum vulgare
Lineage: Eukaryota; Viridiplantae; Streptophyta; Magnoliopsida; Poales; Poaceae
Description: long non-coding RNA (HVUL_LNC011548)
Source: RNAcentral
UCCUUGUAGUCGGUCUCGUCCGGCGUGUUCGAGGGGUCGCCGUGCCUCUCUUGUCUUCUGAAGUCGGAGCUGUUUGAGGGGGAUCCUUGCGGCGACGAUGACGUGAAGAUGGGUGGUUGGUUCUGGCGCUGGCUCGACGCAGGUCCAGUGCUUUCUUCCUUCAAUGCUCGUCAGCUGAGUCGAAGUUGCCUGGUCGCCGGCGCGUGUGGUGGACUGUUUGGCGUUGUCCGACGCAGGCCUCUACGCUUGUCUGAGGUGGAGGCUACAUCGGUGGUCGUCGAUGGUGAAGUCGGAGUCGCCCUCGCGGAGGCGUGAUGACGAUGACGCCGGAUUACAACCUCGACGGAGUUCUUCCCUUAGGCGGCGUGUGUGCGUUCUUGUGAAGGUUUCCAGGUCGCCCUGUGUGUCCUGUUGUGGCGGGCGCAUUGUGACGGUUUUAGCUCGGUUUUCCGAUUAUUAACCGGGCAACUCUCUUCGACCUUUUUUAAUGAGAUCGGUACCUCAGGGACCGUGUUUCAAAAAAAAA